GCGGUAGUGGUGGAAUUGGUAGACACGCUAGCUUGAGGUGCUAGUGAUCGAAAGGUUAUGCUGGUUCAAGUCCAGUCUACCGCA
RNAcentral lists this transfer RNA (84 nucleotides) under Sphaerochaeta sp. RNAcentral describes it as "tRNA-Leu". It matches the Rfam family "tRNA". From Rfam's summary of the family: Transfer RNA (tRNA) molecules are approximately 80 nucleotides in length. Their secondary structure includes four short double-helical elements and three loops (D, anti-codon, and T loops). Lineage: Bacteria; Pseudomonadati; Spirochaetota; Spirochaetia; Spirochaetales; Sphaerochaetaceae. The record is from RNAcentral. RNAcentral also lists the same sequence under 2 other names.